GACCUCCAUCCAUACGAAAUCGUGUCCAGGUAAUCAAAGAUUGAGUGAUUGCGCUUCGUAUGGACUGAUUACUACGCGCCUAGAAGAGGUUUAUUAAUUUAUGAACAAGUGCAUGGAUCAUUGCUUGUUUCUGGUAUCGCGUGUGUAGAAAGUGUUGUUCAUUACUUUUUCAUAAUUGUUACAGUAGAUUUCACUCGCCAGAUUCAGUCAGAGGCUUGAUUCGAAAGUCUG
Molecule: long non-coding RNA, 231 nt
Organism: Cynara cardunculus var. scolymus (artichoke)
Lineage: Eukaryota; Viridiplantae; Streptophyta; Magnoliopsida; Asterales; Asteraceae
Exons: 3
Source: RefSeq, a predicted model, not a curated record